This 107-nucleotide small RNA is filed under the name Kosakonia arachidis. Its description in RNAcentral is "SraH RNA". It matches the Rfam family "ArcZ RNA". Rfam says of the family: This RNA was discovered in E. coli during a large scale screen. SraH expression is highly abundant in stationary phase, but low levels could be detected in exponentially growing cells as well. The record is from RNAcentral. Lineage: Bacteria; Pseudomonadati; Pseudomonadota; Gammaproteobacteria; Enterobacterales; Enterobacteriaceae.
GUGUGGUCGAAUUUUUUCAGGCUACGCCCUUGCAAAAAAAGUAAAAAUUACGGCGCAGCUACGGUUUCCCUGGUGUUGGCGCAGUAUUCGCGCACCCCGGUUAAUCC